This is a long non-coding RNA of Paramisgurnus dabryanus, 2341 nucleotides long. RefSeq lists it as uncharacterized. NCBI's taxonomy places the organism in Eukaryota, Metazoa, Chordata, Actinopteri, Cypriniformes, Cobitidae. The record is from RefSeq and is a predicted model, not a curated record.
AGUUUAUUUAAAGGCAAUCACUAAUCAUAUAUAUAUAUAUAUAUAUAUUAGAUGUACCUGGCUACGCUUAAAGCCGAUGUUUUCUAUCGAGCUAUAGUUUCUGAUCAGACACAAAGUCUGAACUAAAUAAAAUUUUAAACGGUUCACGAAGUCCGGGAAUCUUUUCAUGACCUGGUCUACAGUUUCACGCGUAUUAAAGAUCCGGCGGUGUCUGACAAAGCGUCGGGUGAUUGUUCAUAUCUGUCAUUUAAAAUAAAGUUAAUAAAUGUAAUUCUGUCCACUAUGGCAAAAUAGGAAUUUAUUUUAGAUUUAGGGGAAUCUUUAACCAUGUCUCUGAUUAAAACUUUUGAUUGUAACAUCACAAGUUAUUUAAUUAAAUAUUCUGUAUACGGGUAUAGUUUAAGCAAUGACCUGAGCCAUUACCUUCGGAGCCGUCAAUACUACAUUCUUUAGACGAUAGUCUAAACUAAAUAAAUUUUUAAACGGUUCAGGAAUUCCGUGAAUCUUUUCAUAACCUGCACUAUAGUUUCACGCGUAUUAAAGAUCCGGCGGUGCCUGACAAAGCGCCGGGUGAGUGUUCAUAUCUGCCAUUUUAAAAUAAUGUUAAUAAAUGUAAUUCUGUCCACUAUGGCAAAAUAGGAUUUUAUUUUAGAUUUAGUGGAAUCUUUAACCAAGUCUCUGAUUAAGACAUGUGUAUACGUGCACAGAUGGUGACAGAGAAACUUAUAUAUGACGUUAAUAAUCUUUUAAAUGUUUUUAAGACGUAUUCACCCCAUUUUGGGGUUUUAUUUUUAAUUAAAGGCUUCUUAAAACAUGUGUGAAUAUGUGUAUAUUAUACAAAGAGUCUUAUAUUGUCUGCUCUGACAAAAAUAAAGUAUUUUUUAGGUUUAGGGGAAUUGACUGCGUGUGUCUUAUAAAUACAACUUGAUAAUACGUUUGUUUUGUAAAGAGACUUCUUUAAAGUCACGCAAGAAUAAAAUAUUUUAGUUGUAACUGGUUAAACUUAAAGCCGAUAUUUUCUAUCGAACUAGUCUAUUUUCUGUUCAGACACAAAGUUUUCUGAUGCUGAUAUUAUGUCAGUGUGUGUUUGUGUGGGGGUCGUGUGAUGUAAUCUUUGAAAGUUUAUGACCGAACCUUUAUUGGGGAGCGACAAGAGAUCUCCCGGAAUCAGUUUGGAUGGAGCAGAGCUGUUAUACUCAAGUCUAUUGGUAUGUAUGUGUUUCGCUGUGUUCGUUCCAGUAUUUUGUAUGAUUUAUUUAAAAACUAAAAAUUCGAUCUCUGGUAUUGCAGCGAAAUUGUCUAAACUGGUAUUAACUAUUCCUGGUAAAUCGCGGAGAAGAGUGGCCUGAACAAAAAAGUCAGACCGAGACUAGAACCUCCCGCAGCGUAACACGGAAAUCUUGGAACAAAAGAGACGCCGACUGGCUCGUGUUGUCCGGUUUGGAUAUCAGAGGCAAAGCGAACGUUGUGUGUACUAUUGCAAAAUAUAUAGCGGAUCUCCACGGUUUGGAUAUCAGAGGCAAAGCGAACGUUGUGUGUACUAUUGCAAAAUAUAUAGCGGAUCUCCACGGUUAGGAUACAGACCACAACGCUUUGGACGUAUCUUUAAAAAAGAUUAAAAUCAGAGACUUUUUGGAUUUGUCUGGGGACAUUUUAAACAUUUUGUGGCAAAUUGGAUUUAAAACAUUUCGGAUACUGGAUACCUAGUUUGAUUUGUCCACAGAGCUUGUUUAAGACGUUUUCACCGCAUUUUAGGGUUUAUUUUUAAUUAAAGGCUUCUUAAAACAUGUGUGAAAAUGUGUAUAUUAUACAAUGAGUCUUAUAUUGUCUGCUCUGACAUAAACAAAUUUUUAUAUUAGAUUUUAGAUCAAUUGACUGUGUGUGUUUUAUGUCAAGCGUAUGCUGUUAUGUUUAAUGACGGCUCGUGUGACAGCUUGUGUUUAGGCAUUUGAUGUCAGAUAUCACCCUUCCUCCCUCCUUUCGCACAAGACCUGCAUUCUUUCACAGGGGUGCGUGUUGUAAAGCGAUUAAAGAUUUCUAAAACUCAAUGUUGGUAAAACAAUCCCCCAUUACGGUGCCAAAAAAGUAAAAUGUUUAUUUUAGAUUUAGACAAAUCAUGAACAAUGCUACGAUUAAAACAUUUGUUUGUAACAUCACAAGUUAUUUAAUGAAAUAUUCCGUAUACGUGUAUAGUUUAAGCAAUGAUCUGAGCCAUAACCUUCGGAGCCGGCAAUACUAUAAUCUUUAGACGAAAGUCUAAACUAAAUAAAAUUUUAAACGAUUCAUGAGUUCCGUGAAUCUUUUCAUGACCUGCUCUAUAGAUUCACACGUAUUAAAGAUC